UGCAAGUCGAACGGUCUCUUCGGAGGCCGUGGCAGACGGGUGAGUAAUGCAUGGGAAUCUACCAUUCUCUACGGAAUAACUCAGGGAAACUUGUGCUAAUACCGUAUACGCCCUUUUGGGGAAAGAUUUAUCGGAGAGUGAUGACCCCAUGUUGGAUUAGCUAGUUGGUGGGGUAAAGGCCUACCAAGGCGACGAUCCAUAUCUGGUCUGAGAGGAUGAUCACCCACACUGGGACUGAGACACGGCCCAGACUCCUACGGGAGGCAGCAGUGGGGAAUAUUGGACAAUGGGCGCAAGCCUGAUCCACCCAUGCCGCGUGAGUGAUGAAGGUCUUAAGAUUGUAAAGCUCUUUCACCGGUGAAGAUAAUGACGGUAACCGGAAAAACCCCCGGCUAACUUCGUGCC
This 405-nucleotide ribosomal RNA is filed under the name Pseudochrobactrum sp. GPB10. Its description in RNAcentral is "bacterial SSU rRNA". It matches the Rfam family "Bacterial small subunit ribosomal RNA", at positions 56 to 509 of the family's 1533-position model. Lineage: Bacteria; Pseudomonadati; Pseudomonadota; Alphaproteobacteria; Hyphomicrobiales; Brucellaceae. The record is from RNAcentral.